UUGAAGCUGGAGCUUGCUCCGGCCGAUUUAGUGGCGGACGGGUGAGUAACGCGUGGGUAACCUGCCUCAUACAGGGGGAUAGCAGUUGGAAACGACUGGUAAAACCGCAUAAGCGCACGGUGUCGCAUGACACAGUGUGAAAACACUCCGGUGGUAUGAGAUGGACCCGCGUCUGAUUAGCUAGUUGGUGAGGUAACGGCCCACCAAGGCGACGAUCAGUAGCCGGCCUGAGAGGGUGAACGGCCACAUUGGGACUGAGACACGGCCCAAACUCC
Molecule: ribosomal RNA, 275 nt
Filed under: uncultured Lachnospiraceae bacterium
Lineage: Bacteria; Bacillati; Bacillota; Clostridia; Lachnospirales; Lachnospiraceae
Description: partial 16S ribosomal RNA
Rfam family: Bacterial small subunit ribosomal RNA
Source: RNAcentral